AAAUAAAGAGGAGUCACUGGAGCUUCUUUGAAUGUGGCAGCAUGCUGGAAGGCUACAGCCCUAUGACCCAGGCCCUGCUGGGGACUCUGUUCACCUGGGGUCUGACUGCUGCUGGAGCCGCCCUGGUGUUCAUCUUCUCCAGCCGUCAGAAGCGAAUCCUGGAUGGA
Molecule: long non-coding RNA, 167 nt
Organism: Nematolebias whitei (Rio pearlfish)
Lineage: Eukaryota; Metazoa; Chordata; Actinopteri; Cyprinodontiformes; Rivulidae
Exons: 3
Source: RefSeq, a predicted model, not a curated record